AUGUACCACUCGUCCACGCCGGUUUUGAGUGCACCGUCCGCACCCACCUGACGACUGCUCGCUACGUUGUAAGCC
Molecule: small RNA, 75 nt
Filed under: Xanthomonas campestris pv. coriandri
Lineage: Bacteria; Pseudomonadati; Pseudomonadota; Gammaproteobacteria; Lysobacterales; Lysobacteraceae
Also listed under: 8 other names
Description: sX9 sRNA
Rfam family: Xanthomonas sRNA sX9
Source: RNAcentral